This is a long non-coding RNA of Helianthus annuus (common sunflower), 2734 nucleotides long. RefSeq lists it as uncharacterized. The transcript has 5 exons. The record is from RefSeq and is a predicted model, not a curated record. Lineage: Eukaryota; Viridiplantae; Streptophyta; Magnoliopsida; Asterales; Asteraceae.
CUCUUCCUUUCGCUUGAAGCUUCUACCAUAAGGAUCAAUUAGAUGUUGAUCAAUCAGUACAGAAAUGAAUGUGAUUCGACUAAAGGAAGAUGGUGACGUUGGUUGUGGCCUGAAGAGAAAUGACGACGAAGAAUGGUUGAUUUAGGGUUCUUCAGUUCGGGUAAUGUGAUGGAUGAUUUCGGGAUUCUGAAACCGUAAGUUUUCUUCUUCCGGUUUACACUGAUUUCUUCAUCUGGCGAACUUCCAGGAAGAUGGUGAUGGUGGCCUGAAAAGGAACGAUGACAACGGCAUGGGUUGAUUUAGUGUUUCUCAAGUGGUGGUCUUAUGAUGGUUGUUGUUUAACGCAACGACGGAAGGGCGGCGGCUAGGGUUCCACCACAUAACUUUGACCAGUUGUAGUUUCGGCCGGUUAUCGGUAGAUCAACCAGGAAUGAUAUGGUACGAGUUAUGCGAUUUGUUUGGAAUGUACAUGAUAGAUGAAACAAGUUAUGGACCAAAUCAUGUUGCUCUUGCUGAUAAAGACAUAUGAUGGAAUACAUUGUCCUUUUCCCUAACGAUAUCGAAAUGGGUUUGAAGUUUUAUGUAACUAAACCCCUGAAUAUUUCUCAAUAACCUUUCAUUUGAGAGGUCCAAGGUAUGAUACCAGAACGUUUAGGUUCAGUUUUGAAAGUAAUAGUUUUGAUCUUCCCGUUAUAUUAUUCAUCAUUUCCAUUUUCUUUAUUGAAUAAAGUUUUCAUGUUGUUCAUUACAGUGAGUGCUUUAUUCUCAAAAUAUAUGCUUUUACUUUUGACAUUUUAUGUGACCCGUUUACUUUCACAUGGAUUGAUGCAGGUUAUGUUAAAUAUCUUACGGGUCAAACGAGUAUUAUAAUAAACAUGUCAAUGAGCCAAGUAUGUGAAACAUGUAAAAAUUUUCUUAAUUCGCUAUGAUCAGUUUUUAGCUUUCUGUUUUUGAGGUCUACAAAAAGAAAAAUUGUCAUUGACAAAAUCAUAGCUUAAAGAAUGUCUUCAUAUAUUUUGUAUUUGAUUUAAUUAGAAUACACAGAGGUAUAGCCUGCAUUGUUUUUUCUUUGAUAUAAGACUUUUGACAUUUAAUUUUGUUCUAAGACCUUGAUAUAAUUCUCUUUAUAUUUAACAAUUACUUUGACUAGGGAUGAGCUCGAUACCGGUACCGAAAAUCGUCAGAUAUGAGUACUUGGACGGUACCUGUAUUUGGAGGUAAAAUUCGUUAAAAUACCCGUACCGUAAAAGGCCAAAAAGUGGGUAUGAAAUCGGUAUCAAAAAUAAUUCGGUACGGAAAAUUCGGUGCUGGUACCGGUACCCGUUACCAAAUGCCCAUCCCUAACUUUGACCACAAAAUUGUAGUUGUUACCAAAGGCUCAUCCCUAACUUUGACCACAAAAUAUAUGAUAGAAAAUUCUAACCCAGUUGCCAACUGGAUGAAAAUGUCAAUAAAAAUGAAACCUCGGGGAGUCAAGGACCCAUAUACCCAAGGUUUCAUUUUUGGACUGAAGUGGCAAAAGUAGCUUAAACUCAAGGACCAUUUUGGCAUUUUACUCAUUUGAAAAUUUAUGUUUAGGUCGGAUUGUGAUUAGAGAUGAGCUCAACCGAAAAUUAAGAAAUUUGGUUUUUGGUAUCGAAAAUGUUCGGUAUGGUAUGGUAUUGAUACCGGUAUUUGAAGGUAAAAUACCAGUACCAAAAUUGCCAAAAAAUGGGUACCGAUUCGGUACUGAAAAUAAUUCGAUACAGAAAAUUUUUUAUUAUGUUUUACUUAUCAUUUACUUCUUUGCAUUGUUUGAUUUUUUUCUAGAAAACUUUGACCUAGGAAUGUAUGCUUGCCUAAUUUGGUUGUUUAGAGGAGGGGAGAGUGAGUUUUCUGUUGGUAUAAGGUGAGCCUUGGUUCAACAGGUGAGUAAAUAUUUCCCAUUCAUAUAUUUGAUAUCCUGAAUCGAAUUAUCAUCAAGUUGAGUGUGGGAAUUUUUCCCAUCUUGAGUAGAGUUUGCUCUGGACUUCAGAGUAUAUGUUUUGAGUUGUCAAUUGAGACUUCAGUUGAUUGAUGGGCUAUCUUCAUUACAAUAUUCUUUUUUGUCAUUAGAUCAGUAUAAACUUAAAAAAGCCUUUAAAUUAUCAGUUUUAGAUAUUUAUCCAAAGAAUCAUUGGUUGUUUCAGGGUCUGAGAAAAUAUUAAAACCAAACUUAUUCCUAUAAGUGUUAAAAUACUUUUUAUCUCUGUGUUUGUGUGUUCAUAGCUAACACCUACCAAAUCAAUAUGAUGGAUUCCUUUCAGCCCUUUACAGGGUUCUUGUCUAAUUCCAUCAACUCUCAUCAUUUAAUCAAAUCUUUAUAUGUCAUUUAAUAAUAAAUUGUUUAUGAUCCGAGCUUGAAGACCCAUUGGUAUUAAGUUAUGAAAUAAUAUAUAGGGAGUAUUUGGAUUGAUCAUGCAACCACAAUGAUCUAAAUGUAUAUAUGCAUUCACAUAUGUCUUGGAUGUAGAAAUAAGACAGUUUGACUUAUAGAAGUUAACCCAAAGUAAAAGUUGAAGAAUAUCAUGUUGGGGCAUCAUGAGGCAAAGGUAAAGUAUUAAUAUUAAAGCUCCAACAUAAUGAUGAUGCUGCUGCUCAAGUCUAUGGUCGAACUACAUAACCUGUGGAAAAGCUUAUGAAUAACUCUAUAAGUGUGUUUGUAUCUCACAACUUAAAUUAUCAUUUUCUCUAUAAUAUUUAUCUUCAUCUUAUU